This 328-nucleotide ribosomal RNA is filed under the name uncultured Nitrobacter sp. RNAcentral describes it as "bacterial SSU rRNA". It matches the Rfam family "Bacterial small subunit ribosomal RNA", at positions 470 to 797 of the family's 1533-position model. Lineage: Bacteria; Pseudomonadati; Pseudomonadota; Alphaproteobacteria; Hyphomicrobiales; Nitrobacteraceae. The record is from RNAcentral.
UUUCGGUACCGGGAGAAUAAGCACCGGCUAACUACGUGCCAGCAGCCGCGGUAAUACGUAGGGUGCGAGCGUUAAUCGGAAUUACUGGGCGUAAAGCGUGCGCAGGCGGUUUUGUAAGACAGAGGUGAAAUCCCCGGGCUCAACCUGGGAACUGCCUUUGWGACUGCAWAGCUUGAGUGCGGCAGAGGGGGAUGGAAUUCCGCGUGUAGCAGUGAAAUGCKUAGAUAUGCGGAGGAACACCGAUGGCGAAGGCAAUCCCCUGGGCCUGUACUGACGCUCAUGCACGAAAGCGUGGGGAGCAAACAGGAUUAGAUACCCUGGUAGUCCC